UUUGUCUUAGUAUAAUAAUUAUAUUAGCUUUUCGUGCUAGAGAUAGUUGGGCUUAGACUAGACAAAA
This 67-nucleotide transfer RNA is filed under the name Cloacotaenia megalops. Its description in RNAcentral is "tRNA-Glu". Lineage: Eukaryota; Metazoa; Platyhelminthes; Cestoda; Cyclophyllidea; Hymenolepididae. The record is from RNAcentral.